This 327-nucleotide ribosomal RNA is filed under the name uncultured eukaryote. RNAcentral describes it as "partial 18S ribosomal RNA". It matches the Rfam family "Eukaryotic small subunit ribosomal RNA", at positions 1470 to 1796 of the family's 1831-position model. The record is from RNAcentral.
CCCUUAGAUGUUCUGGGCCGCACGCGCGCUACACUGAUUCAUGCAACAAGUUUUGUCCUUGGCUGAUAGGCCUGGGUAAUCUUUGAACGUGAAUCGUGAUGGGGAUAGAUGAUUGCAAUUAUUCAUCUUCAACGAGGAAUUCCUAGUAAACGCAAGUCAUCAGCUUGCAUUGAUUACGUCCCUGCCCUUUGUACACACCGCCCGUCGCACCUACCGAUUGAAUGGUCCGGUGAAAUCUUCGGAUCUGAGAGAUGUCUGAUUAAUUUCGGACGCCUUUUGGAAAAGUUGUUUAAACCUUACCAUUUAGAGGAAGGUGAANUCGUAGCA